This 405-nucleotide ribosomal RNA is filed under the name uncultured bacterium. RNAcentral describes it as "bacterial SSU rRNA". It matches the Rfam family "Bacterial small subunit ribosomal RNA", at positions 29 to 417 of the family's 1533-position model. The record is from RNAcentral.
AACGAACGCUGGCGGCGUGCCUAACACAUGCAAGUCGUGCGAGAAAGUUCCUUCGGGAGCGAGUAAAGCGGCGCACGGGUGAGUAACACGUAGGUAACCUGCCCCCCAGUCUGGAACAACUAGAGGAAACUCUAGCUAAUGCCGGAUGAGACCACGAUCCCUUCGGGGGUUGCGGCCAAAGAUGGCCUCUACUUGUAAGCUAUCGCUGAGGGAUGGGCCUGCGGGCCAUUAGCUUGUUGGUGAGGUAACGGCUCACCAAGGCUGUGAUGGCUAGCUGGUCUGAGAGGAUGACCAGCCACACUGGGACUGAAACACGGCCCAGACUCCUACGGGAGGCAGCAGUGGGGAAUAUUGCGCAAUGGGCGAAAGCCUGACGCAGCGACGCCGCGUGGGUGAUGAAGGCCU